RNAcentral lists this ribosomal RNA (253 nucleotides) under uncultured bacterium. RNAcentral's name for it is "partial 16S ribosomal RNA". It matches the Rfam family "Bacterial small subunit ribosomal RNA", at positions 524 to 776 of the family's 1533-position model. The record is from RNAcentral.
UACGUAGGGGGCUAGCGUUGUCCGGAUUUAUUGGGCGUAAAGAGCGUGUAGGCGGCCAUACAGGUCCGUUGUGAAAACUGGAGGCUCAACCUCCAGACGUCGACGGAAACCGUAUGGCUAGAGUCCGGAAGAGGAGAGUGGAAUUCCUGGUGUAGCGGUGAAAUGCGCAGAUAUCAGGAAGAACACCCGUGGCGAAGGCGGCUCUCUGGGACGGUACUGACGCUGAGACGCGAAAGCGUGGGGAGCGAACAGG